GCAAGUCGAACGGUCUCUUCGGAGAUAGUGGCGCACGGGUGAGUAACACGUGGGAAUGUGCCCUUGGGUGCGGAACAACAGUUGGAAACGACUGCUAAUACCGCAUAAUGACUACGGUCCAAAGAUUUAUUGCCCAAGGAUCAGCCCGCGUUUGAUUAGAUAGUUGGUGAGGUAAUGGCUCACCAAGUCGACGAUCAGUAGAUGGUCUUAGAGGAUGAUC
RNAcentral lists this ribosomal RNA (220 nucleotides) under uncultured bacterium. RNAcentral describes it as "partial 16S ribosomal RNA". It matches the Rfam family "Bacterial small subunit ribosomal RNA", at positions 57 to 305 of the family's 1533-position model. The record is from RNAcentral.